AGAGUUUGAUCUGGCUCAGGACGAGCGCUGGCGGCGUGCUUAACACAUGCAAGUCGAACGAGGUCCACUGCGUAGCAAUACAAGGGAAGACCUAGUGGCGAACGGGUGCGUAACACGUGAGGAACUUGUCCCGGUCUCUGGGAUAACAGUUGGAAACGACUGCUAAUACCGGAUGACGUCGGAAUCUCGCAUGGGAUACUGACGAAAGGGUUACUGGAUCGGGAGAGCCUCGCGGCCUAUCAGCUUGUUGGUGAGGUAACGGCUCACCAAGGCAUCGACGGGUAGCUGGUCUGAGAGGAUGAUCAGCCACACUGGGACUGAGACACGGCCCAGACUCCUACGGGAGGCAGCAGUGGGGAAUCUUGCGCAAUGGGCGAAAGCCUGACGCAGCAACGCCGCGUGCGGGAAGAAGGCCCUCGGGUUGUAAACCGCUUUCAGUAGGAACGAAAAUGACGGUACCUGCAGAAGAAGGUGCGGCCAACUACGUG
Molecule: ribosomal RNA, 488 nt
Filed under: uncultured bacterium
Lineage: Bacteria
Description: bacterial SSU rRNA
Rfam family: Bacterial small subunit ribosomal RNA
Source: RNAcentral